RNAcentral lists this ribosomal RNA (441 nucleotides) under uncultured bacterium. RNAcentral's name for it is "partial 16S ribosomal RNA". It matches the Rfam family "Bacterial small subunit ribosomal RNA", at positions 338 to 795 of the family's 1533-position model. The record is from RNAcentral.
CCUACGGGAGGCAGCAGUGGGGGAUAUUGCACAAUGGGGGGAACCCUGAUGCAGCGACGCCGCGUGGGUGAAGGAGUAUUUCGGUGUGUAAAGCCCUAUCAGCAGGGAAGAACAAUGACGGUACCGGACUAAGAAGCACCGGCUAAAUACGUGCCAGCAGCCGCGGUAAUACGUAGGGUGCAAGCGUUAUCCGGAUUUACUGGGUGUAAAGGGAGCGCAGGCGGCGCGGUAAGCCGGGUGUGAAAGCCCGCGGCCCAACCCCGGGACUGCCUUGGGAACUGGCGGGCUGGAGUGCCGGAGGGGUAGGCGGAAUUCCUGGUGUAGCGGUGAAAUGCGUAGAUAUUAGGAGGAACACCAGUGGCGAAGGCGGCCUGCUGGACGGUGACUGACGCUGAGGCCCGAAAGCGUGGGGAGCAAACAGGAUUAGAUACCCCUGUAGUC